RNAcentral lists this long non-coding RNA (591 nucleotides) under Ananas comosus (pineapple). RNAcentral describes it as "long non-coding RNA (ACOM_LNC022687)". Lineage: Eukaryota; Viridiplantae; Streptophyta; Magnoliopsida; Poales; Bromeliaceae. The record is from RNAcentral.
UUUAUUAGAUUCAAAUAGCACUUCCGCAAAAAGCAGGCUCCGUAUGUGCAACGACCCGAUCCACUAGCAACAAUAACUCGUUGGGCUCAAACCACCGGCCCAAAAUGUUUAAACCCAAUUAUUAUUACUAGUGUGUAGGUUUCAUAUAAGCUGAUCGAAAUCAGUAUCUUAUCCCAUCCGAUGUGGGACUAUUGGGGCGUUACAAAUUCCCCCUAUUUAGAUCCUGACGUCCUCGUCGGGUCCAAACCAGAUCACAGACCGGGACCAUAAUUACCAGACGAUGUGAGAUUCUAGAGGUGGCUCCUACCGGUUCAAGAGGUGGCUUCCACAAAAUCCGUUGGUAUAGCACUUUGUCCCGUAUAGCACUUAGCUCGUAUAUUUUCGGCUGGUAUUCGGCUUAAAUACCAAUUGCAACGACCCGACCCGUUAGCAACAAUAACUCGUUGGGUCUAAACCACCGGCCUAAAAUGCUUAAAUCUAGUUAUUAUUAUUAGCGCGUAGAGCUUAUAUAAACUGAUCGAAAUCAGUAUCUUAUCUGAUGUGAAACUAUUAGGGCGUUACAGUAUGGCAAUUAAGCUUCUGGGGGCCUGA